GAUGAAGAACGUAGCGAAAUGCGAUAAGUAAUGUGAAUUGAAGAAUUCAGUGAAUCAUCGAAUCUUUGAACGCACCUUGCGCUCCUUGGUAUUCCGAGGAGCAUGCCUGUUUGAGUGUCAUUAAUAUAUCAACCUUCUCUUUUUUGAGUUGUUUGGAUGUGGGGGUUUGCUGGCCUCUUAAAUGAUUCAGCUCCCCUGAAAUGCAUUAGCAGAACAACCUGUUCAUUAGCGUGAUAAUUAUCUAUGCUAUUGAAUGUGAGGGCAGUUCAGCUUUCUAACCGUCCUUGGACAAUUCAUCAUUAAUGUGACCUCAAAUCAGGUAGGACUACCCGCUGAACUUAAGCAUAUCAAUAAGCGGAGGA
Molecule: unclassified non-coding RNA, 362 nt
Filed under: soil metagenome
Description: partial contains 5.8S ribosomal RNA, internal transcribed spacer 2, and large subunit ribosomal RNA
Rfam family: 5.8S ribosomal RNA (bases 1-120)
Source: RNAcentral